This 171-nucleotide ribosomal RNA is filed under the name Mycena sp. Its description in RNAcentral is "partial large subunit ribosomal RNA". It matches the Rfam family "Eukaryotic large subunit ribosomal RNA", at positions 99 to 261 of the family's 3401-position model. Lineage: Eukaryota; Fungi; Basidiomycota; Agaricomycetes; Agaricales; Mycenaceae. The record is from RNAcentral.
CGGGAAAAGCUCAAAUUUAAAAUCUGGUGGUUCUUGUAGCCAUCCGAAUUGUAAUUUAGAGAAGUGUUAUCCGCGCUGGACCGUGUAUAAGUCUCCUGGAAUGGAGCGUCAUAGAGGGUGAGAAUCCCGUCUUUGACACGGACUACCAGGGCUUUGUGAUACGCUCUCGAA